Molecule: small nucleolar RNA, 220 nt
Filed under: Phaseolus vulgaris (common bean)
Lineage: Eukaryota; Viridiplantae; Streptophyta; Magnoliopsida; Fabales; Fabaceae
Description: snoRNA Plant_U3
Rfam family: Plant small nucleolar RNA U3
About the family: Small nucleolar RNAs (snoRNAs) are involved in the processing and modification of rRNA in the nucleolus. There are two main classes of snoRNAs: the box C/D class, and the box H/ACA class. U3 snoRNA is a member of the box C/D class.
Source: Rfam by way of RNAcentral
ACGACCUUACUUGAACAGGAUCUGUUCUAUAGGCUCGUACCUCUGUAUCCUUGAGUUCUAAGGAGACAGGAACUGAAGUCUGGUGGAUGAACGUGACCCUGUGAUCAGAGCGUGAUUAACGGUCAGGUGUGCCUUCUCCCUGGAUUAGAUACAUCUUAGCUGUAGAGGAUCGUUCCCAGUCUUCAUGAUUUGAGAUGGUCACAGGGUUGUCUGACAGACU